GACGCUCAGGUGCCGAAAGCGGUGGGGGAGCAAACAGGAUUUAGAUAACCCUGGUAGUCCACGCUGUAAAACGAUGUCGACUUGGGAGGUUGUGCCCCUUGAGGCGUGGCUUCCGGAGCUAACGCGUUAAGUCGACCGCCUGGGGAGUACGGCCGCAAGGUUAAAACUCAAAUGAAUUGACGGGGGCCCGCACAAGCGGUGGAGCAUGUGGUUUAAUUCGAUGCAACGCGAAGAACCUUACCUACUCUUGACAUCCACAGAAUUCGCUAGAGAUAGCUUAGUGCCUUCGGGAACUGUGAGACAGGUGCUGCAUGGCUGUCGUCAGCUCGUGUUGUGAAAUGUUGGGUUAAGUCCCGCAACGAGCGCAACCCUUAUCCUUUGUUGCCAGCACGUGAUGGUGGGAACUCAAAGGAGACUGCCGGUGAUAAACCGGAGGAAGGUGGGGAUGACGUCAAGUCAUCAUGGCCCUUACGAGUAGGGCUACACACGUGCUACAAUGGCAUAUACAAAGAGAAGCGAACUCGCGAGAGCAAGCGGACCUCAUAAAGUAUGUCGUAGUCCGGAUCGGAGUCUGCAACUCGACUCCGUGAAGUCGGAAUCGCUAGUAAUCGUAGAUCAGAAUGCUACGGUGAAUACGUUCCCGGGCCUUGUACACACCGCCCGUCACACCAUGGGAGUGGGUUGCAAAAGAAGUAGGUAGC
This 701-nucleotide ribosomal RNA is filed under the name Serratia proteamaculans. Its description in RNAcentral is "bacterial SSU rRNA". It matches the Rfam family "Bacterial small subunit ribosomal RNA", at positions 742 to 1434 of the family's 1533-position model. The record is from RNAcentral. Lineage: Bacteria; Pseudomonadati; Pseudomonadota; Gammaproteobacteria; Enterobacterales; Yersiniaceae.